This 258-nucleotide ribosomal RNA is filed under the name uncultured bacterium. RNAcentral describes it as "partial 16S ribosomal RNA". The record is from RNAcentral.
CUGCUGCCUCCCGUAGGAGUCUGGGCCGUGUCUCAGUCCCAGUGUGGCCGGCCACCCUCUCAGGCCGGCUACCCAUCGUCGCCUUGGUAGGCCAUUACCCUACCAACUAGCUAAUGGGACGCGAGUCCAUCUUUCAGCGUCAGGUCUCCCCAACUUUUCCUAUAUAAACAUGCACUUAUAUAACUCAUCCGGCAUUAGCUCACCUUUCGGUAAGUUGUUCCAGUCUAAAAGGCAGGUCACUCACGUGUUACUCACCCG